CUGCGCUCAGCCCAAGACCUACUCCUAUCCUCUGCCCGGAUCCCCACCUCUGAUGCUCGCCUUUAAGACUUCUCCAGGGCUGCACCUAUUCUGUGGAACUCCCUUCCCUCCUCAAUCAGACUUUUACCCAGCCUCCAUUCCUUCAAAAAAUCUUUGAAAACUCACUUCUUCAUUAAAGCAUAUCAAUUAAACUGUCAACAGGUUUCUC
This is a non-coding RNA of Pelobates cultripes (western spadefoot toad), 208 nucleotides long. The record is from the annotation of a GenBank genome assembly. Lineage: Eukaryota; Metazoa; Chordata; Amphibia; Anura; Pelobatidae.